Molecule: ribosomal RNA, 1202 nt
Filed under: metagenome
Description: bacterial SSU rRNA
Rfam family: Bacterial small subunit ribosomal RNA
Source: RNAcentral
UCUAGGGGUUCUGAGAGGAAGGUCCCCCACACUGGUACUGAGACACGGACCAGACUCCUACGGGAGGCAGCAGUGAGGAAUAUUGGUCAAUGGACGCAAGUCUGAACCAGCCAUGUCGCGUGAAGGAAGACGGUUCUAUGGAUUGUAAACUUCUUUUAUACGGGAAGAAACGUAUCUACGAGUAGAUAUUUGCCGGUACCGUAUGAAUAAGCACCGGCUAACUCCGUGCCAGCAGCCGCGGUAAUACGGAGGGUGCGAGCGUUAUCCGGAUUUAUUGGGUUUAAAGGGUGCGUAGGCGGAAUAAUAAGUCAGUGGUGAAAUCUUGCAGCUUAACUGUAAAACUGCCAUUGAUACUGUUAUUCUUGAAUUUAGUUGAGGUAGGCGGAAUGUGUUGUGUAGCGGUGAAAUGCAUAGAUAUAACACAGAACACCGAUUGCGAAGGCAGCUUACUAAGCUAUAAUUGACGCUGAUGCACGAAAGCGUGGGUAGCGAACAGGAUUAGAUACCCUGGUAGUCCACGCCGUAAACGAUGAUUACUCGUUGUUGGCAAUACAUAGUCAGCGACUGAGCGAAAGCAUUAAGUAAUCCACCUGGGGAGUACGUUGGCAACAAUGAAACUCAAAGGAAUUGACGGGGGCCCGCACAAGCGGAGGAACAUGUGGUUUAAUUCGAUGAUACGCGAGGAACCUUACCUGGACUUAAAUGUAGAUUGACAGGCUUAGAGAUAGGCUUUUCUUCGGACAAUUUACAAGGUGCUGCAUGGUUGUCGUCAGCUCGUGCCGUGAGGUGUCGGGUUAAGUCCCAUAACGAGCGCAACCCCUAUCUUUAGUUACCAGCAUGUAGUGGUGGACUCUAAAGAGACUGCCGGUGUAAACCGUGAGGAAGGUGGGGAUGACGUCAAAUCAGCACGGCCCUUACGUCCAGGGCUACACACGUGUUACAAUGGUCGGUACAAAGGGCAGCUACCUAGCGAUAGGAUGCUAAUCUCUAAAACCGAUCUCAGUUCGGAUCGGAGUCUGCAACUCGACUCCGUGAAGCUGGAUUCGCUAGUAAUCGCAUAUCAGCCAUGAUGCGGUGAAUACGUUCCCGGGCCUUGUACACACCGCCCGUCAAACCAUGGAAGUUGGGGGUACCUGAAGUCUGUUACCGUAAGGAGCGGCCUAGGGUAAAACUAAUAACUAGGGUUAAGUCGGAACAAGGUA